Molecule: ribosomal RNA, 405 nt
Filed under: uncultured prokaryote
Description: bacterial SSU rRNA
Rfam family: Bacterial small subunit ribosomal RNA
Source: RNAcentral
UGGGGGAUAUUGCACAAUGGGCGAAAGCCUGAUGCAGCAACGCCGCGUGAGGGAAGACGGUUUUCGGAUUGUAAACCUCUGUCUUUGGUGAAGAAACAAAUGACGGUAGCCGAGGAGGAAGCCACGGCUAACUACGUGCCAGCAGCCGCGGUAAUACGUAGGUGGCAAGCGUUGUCCGGAAUUACUGGGUGGAAAGGGAGCGCAGGCGGGGAGACAAGUCAGCGGUGAAAACUAUGGGCUUAACCCAUAAACUGCAGUUGAAACUGUUUUUCUUGAGUGGAGUAGAGGUAGGCGGAAUGCCGAGUGUAGCGGUGAAAUGCGUAGAUGUUCGGAGGAACACCAGUGGCGAAGGCGGCCUACUGGGCUCUAACUGACGCUGAGGCUCGAAAGUGUGGGGAGCAAACA